GUGGGGAAUAUUGGACAAUGGGGGGAACCCUGAUCCAGCCAUGCCGCGUGUGUGAAGAAGGCCUUUUGGUUGUAAAGCACUUUAAGUUGGGAGGAAGGGCAGUAAGUUAAUACCUUGCUGUUUUGACGUUACCAACAGAAUAAGCACCGGCUAACUUCGUGCCAGCAGCCGCGGUAAUACGAAGGGUGCAAGCGUUAAUCGGAAUUACUGGGCGUAAAGCGCGCGUAGGUGGUUUUGUAAGUUGGAGGUGAGAUCCCCGGGCUCAACCUGGGAACUGCCUCCAAAACUGCAUGACUAGAGGACGGUAGAGGGUAGUGGAAGUUCCUGUGUAGCGGUGAAAUGCGUAGAUAUAGGAAGGAACACCAGUGGCGAAGGCGACUACCUGGACUGAUACUGACACUGAGGUGCGAAAGCGUGGGGAGCAAACAGGAUUAGAAACCCGAGUAGUCC
This 450-nucleotide ribosomal RNA is filed under the name uncultured bacterium. Its description in RNAcentral is "partial 16S ribosomal RNA". It matches the Rfam family "Bacterial small subunit ribosomal RNA", at positions 354 to 796 of the family's 1533-position model. The record is from RNAcentral.